RNAcentral lists this ribosomal RNA (470 nucleotides) under uncultured bacterium. RNAcentral's name for it is "bacterial SSU rRNA". It matches the Rfam family "Bacterial small subunit ribosomal RNA", at positions 39 to 518 of the family's 1533-position model. The record is from RNAcentral.
GUGUUACAGCCGCCGCGGUAACACAUGCAAGUCGAACGGAUCACAUGAUUUCGGUUGUGUGGUGAGUGGCGAACGGGUGAGUAACACGUGAGUAAUCUGCCCCGAACUCUGGGAUAACGACUCGAAAGGGUUGCUAAUACCGGAUAUUGAAUCGCCGUCUUUGGGUGGUGGUUUGAAAGUUUUUUCGGUUCGGGAUGGGCUCGCGGCCUAUCAGCUUGUUGGUGGGGUAAUGGCCUACCAAGGCGUCGACGGGUAGCCGGCCUGAGAGGGCGACCGGCCACACUGGGACUGAGAUACGGCCCAGACUCCUACGGGAGGCAGCAGUGGGGAAUAUUGCACAAUGGGCGGAAGCCUGAUGCAGCAACACCGCGUGCGGGAUGAAGGCCUUCGGGUUGUAAACCGCUUUCAGUAGGGGCGAAUUUGACGGUACCUACAGAAGAAGCACCGGCUAACUACGUGCCAGCAGCCGC